This 765-nucleotide long non-coding RNA is filed under the name Piliocolobus tephrosceles (Ugandan red Colobus). RNAcentral's name for it is "lncRNA (ENSPTEG00000038308.1)". Lineage: Eukaryota; Metazoa; Chordata; Mammalia; Primates; Cercopithecidae. The record is from RNAcentral.
GAGUUGAGCAGGGGAGCUGUGGGACAAGUGUGAAAGCCAUUGCUAGUGAGAAAAAGCAAUAGUAGCAAUUAGAUAGUGAAACUGAACAGUGCCCUUUAAUAAAUAAUUCACCUCACUUCCCAAUCGUAUCUACACUGUGCCUCUCCUCCAAACCCACUUACAGACCCUCUUCUGCCCUUGGAGUCAUUAUUGCCCUCAAUUCAAGCGUCUGAAAGCAUGCCUGAUGAAACGCAAUGCUCCGUUCCUGGCUAGCUGCCACUGGCCACACCCUACAAAGAAUCCCAACAGCCCAGUUCAAAGACUUGUCAUUAGAGAUGCUGUUCUAUCCAGCCAGCCAACAAUUCUCAAGUGGAGUGGCUCUAGAAACUCAGCUCUUGAAAACAUCACGGAGCUUUAUCAGUGACAAGGCCAAGAGGUUGCAACUACUGUUAUCUUUGGACACACAGAAGAAUCACCUGGUCCAGAUCCAGUUCGUGGGAAGUUUCCAACUGCCCAGUCGGAGGUCUCUCCACUGGAGGCAUCAUGCUAACCAGAGAUCUGAGGUGUUCCAGACUUUCUUCAGCAUGGCAAUAUUUCCUGUCUUUGACCGAUUUUCCUUGGGCCAAGCUCCUUAGAAGUCUUGGCUUCUCUGCCAAAGAGACCUGGGAUCAUCAGGCAAUAAUCCUCCAAUUUAUUGCCCCUGUUCUACAUUCCUGAUCCAUGACUAUUUGCAGACCUUGGGACCAGCUUCCCAAAACCCAGCAUAAGCUGCUUUAAUUUUAUCAU